This 69-nucleotide transfer RNA is filed under the name Glyphonycteris daviesi (Davies's big-eared bat). RNAcentral describes it as "tRNA-His". Lineage: Eukaryota; Metazoa; Chordata; Mammalia; Chiroptera; Phyllostomidae. The record is from RNAcentral.
GUAAGUAUAGUUUAACAAAAACUUUAGAUUGUGAGUCUAACAAUAGAAUCUUAACCCUUCUUACUUACC